Molecule: ribosomal RNA, 253 nt
Filed under: uncultured bacterium
Lineage: Bacteria
Description: partial 16S ribosomal RNA
Rfam family: Bacterial small subunit ribosomal RNA
Source: RNAcentral
UACAGAGGUCUCAAGCGUUGUUCGGAUUCAUUGGGCGUAAAGGGUGCGUAGGCGGCGCCGUCAGUCGGAUGUGAAAUCUCAGGGCUCAACCCUGAAACUGCAUUCGAUACUGCGGUGCUCGAGGACUCGAGAGGAGAUUGGAAUUCACGGUGUAGCAGUGAAAUGCGUAGAUAUCGUGAGGAAGACCAGUGGCGAAGGCGGAUCUCUGGAGAGUUCCUGACGCUGAGGCACGAAGGCCAGGGGAGCAAACGGG